GCACGGUUGUAGUUGAUGUGCAGUCUGGCCUGCCCACUGAAGUUUUAAAGGGCCGCGGUAUUUGGACCGUGCUAAGGUAGCAUAAUAAAUAGUCUUUUAAUUGAAGUCUAGUAUGAAUGGUCGGACAUGAAGUAAGCUGUCUUAACUCUGAUAUUUGAAUUUUACUUUUAAGUGAAAAGGCUUAAAUUAAAUGGUGGGACGAUAAGACCCUAUAAAGCUUUACGUCUUAUUUUUGAGUUGUGGGAUUUAGGUUUCUUAUUCUUAUCAAAUAAGACGUUUCGUUGGGGCGACGAAAAUAUAAAAUAGUAACUGUUUUAUUUUAAAAAUACUUUUAUGUAGGUGAGUUGAUCCUUUAUAGAGAUUAAAAGAUUUAAGUUACUUUAGGGAUAACAGCGUGAUUUAUCUUGAGAGUUCAUAUCGACAGAUGUAGUUGCGACCUCGAUGUUGAAUUAAAAUACCCCCUAGGUGCAGCCGUUUUGGUGGUAGGUCUGUUCGACCUUUAAAAU
RNAcentral lists this ribosomal RNA (506 nucleotides) under Caridina novaecaledoniae. RNAcentral describes it as "partial 16S ribosomal RNA". It matches the Rfam family "Bacterial large subunit ribosomal RNA", at positions 1830 to 2594 of the family's 2925-position model. Lineage: Eukaryota; Metazoa; Arthropoda; Malacostraca; Decapoda; Atyidae. The record is from RNAcentral.